UCUAAUAUGGCAGAUUAGUGCAAUGAAUUUAAGCUUCAUAUAUAAAGAAUUUUAUCUUUUGUUAGAAUAACUAAUGG
Molecule: transfer RNA, 77 nt
Filed under: Culex tritaeniorhynchus
Lineage: Eukaryota; Metazoa; Arthropoda; Insecta; Diptera; Culicidae
Description: tRNA-Leu
Source: RNAcentral